This 463-nucleotide ribosomal RNA is filed under the name uncultured bacterium. Its description in RNAcentral is "bacterial SSU rRNA". It matches the Rfam family "Bacterial small subunit ribosomal RNA", at positions 30 to 524 of the family's 1533-position model. The record is from RNAcentral.
AUUGAACGCUGGCGGUAUGCCUAACACAUGCAAGUCGAACGAGGUAGCAAUACCUAGUGGCGGACGGGUGAGGAAUACGUAGGGAUCUGCCUUUAAGUGGGGAUAACCCGGGGAAACCCGGAUUAAUACCGCAUGAUCUCGCAAGAGCAAAGAGGGGGACCGCAAGGCCUCUCGCUUUUAGAGGAACCUACGUCGGAUUAGCUAGUUGGUGAGGUAAUGGCUCACCAAGGCGACGAUCCGUAACUGGUCUGAGAGGAUGAUCAGUCACACCGGAACUGAGACACGGUCCGGACUCCUACGGGAGGCAGCAGUGGGGAAUAUUGGACAAUGGGCGAAAGCCUGAUCCAGCCAUGCCGCGUGAGUGAUGAAGGCCUUAGGGUUGUAAAGCUCUUUUACCCGGGAUGAUAAUGACAGUACCGGGAGAAUAAGCUCCGGCUAACUCCGUGCCAGCAGCCGCGGUAAU